GGGGGGGGGGGGGGGGGGGGGGGGGGGGGGGGGGGGGGGGGGGGGGGGCGGGGUGGGGGGGGGUGCGCGAGGGGAGAACGGGUGAGGAACACUGGAGUACCCGGCGCUUGGCUUGGGGAUCACUUAAGGAAACUGAGUCUACUACCGGAUAGGAGCUCCGGCGGCAUGGGAGGUGUUUGCAAGGUUCGCCUGUUGGGGAUGGACGGGCGGCGUAUCAUCUCGGUGGUGGGGUACUGGCUUAACAAUGCUGUGACGGGUAGCCGGCCGGAGAGGGUUACCGGCCACAUUGGGACGGAGAUACGGCCCAGACUCCUACGGGAGGCAGCAGUGGGGAAUCUUGCACGAUGGGCGGAAGCCUGAUGCAGCAACGCCGCGUGCGGGAUGCCGGCCUUCGGGUUGUAAACCGCUUUCGCCUGUGACGAAGCGUGAGUGACGGUAAUGGGUAAAGAAGCACCGUCUAACUACGUG
This 468-nucleotide ribosomal RNA is filed under the name uncultured bacterium. Its description in RNAcentral is "partial 16S ribosomal RNA". It matches the Rfam family "Bacterial small subunit ribosomal RNA", at positions 38 to 507 of the family's 1533-position model. The record is from RNAcentral.